UACGUAGGGGCCUAGCGUUGUCCGGAAUUAUUGGGCGUAAAGAGCUCGUAGGCGGUUCGGCAAGUCGGAUGUGAAAUCUCCACGCUCAACGUGGAGGGGCCAUUCGAAACUGCCGUGACUCGAGUCCGGUAGGGGAGUGUGGAAUUCCCGGUGUAGCGGUGAAAUGCGCAGAUAUCAGGAAGAACACCCGUGGCGAAGGCGGCUCUCUGGGACGGUACUGACGCUGAGACGCGAAAGCGUGGGGAGCGAACAGG
Molecule: ribosomal RNA, 254 nt
Filed under: uncultured bacterium
Lineage: Bacteria
Description: partial 16S ribosomal RNA
Rfam family: Bacterial small subunit ribosomal RNA
Source: RNAcentral